This is a long non-coding RNA of Cryptotermes secundus, 1077 nucleotides long. RefSeq lists it as uncharacterized. The record is from RefSeq and is a predicted model, not a curated record. NCBI's taxonomy places the organism in Eukaryota, Metazoa, Arthropoda, Insecta, Blattodea, Kalotermitidae. The transcript is spliced from 4 exons.
AAGAAGAAGAAGACGAAAAAUUCCUUACUCUGUGUUACAGGGGAGCGUUUUUAUUGGCUGAUUUGUGAGGUGUGGUCGUGCGGAAAAUGGCGGCUUUAGAAGUUUACUUGAAGUGGGUCGUUUCUUUCAAGUAGAACAAUCCAGGGAUUACAAAGUGUUUAUAAUUGUAGUAAUAAUGUCCAAAAGUUUCCAAUAAGAUUUUAGCAGGAUGUUUGGGAGAACUUUGUGACGAUUUCUGUGAUGUCAUAGGUGGGAGAUAGCACUCUGCCUGGACACAGGACACUCUUCUUCUCCAGUAAGAAGCUCUUUGACUUCACACGAACAGUGAGCAACACGUUUCUGUUCCCUAUUAUUGCACAGGAACUAGUAGGAGUCUGUGUAUUAAGGUUAGUGUCUUUUGAGGAGAAGACUGUCCUUACUUAACUCACAGGUCAAUGAAAAUAAGAAACUGUGACAAAUUAUAUUAUAUAUCCUGUUCAGAUUUAUUGUUUGUAAAGCUGUUUGUGAUUGUUGCUGUUUUUUGGUGGUCCUGGACUGGUGUAUGUGAAGGGAAGCUGUUUCCAGUCAUGAAGAACGAUGCAGUAUCAUCCUCUUGACCUGUGGACUGCCUGUGAGGAGCCCCUGUAUGAGAGGCCUGGGAAGCCAUCACUGGUGAGACAUGUUACGCUGUCAUACUGCGGAAGUAGCACCAGAGAGAUCACAAGACUGUUGACUUCACGACAGUUCAGGCUCCUUAUAGGGUCUUAGGUUAUAACACUCUUGAAAUGAUAAAGCUUAGCGACAUUUGAGAGGAGCUUCCUCUAGUGUCAGAGAUAGAAUGUCGGUAAUCUUUACCAUUUUGAUAUGGCACUGUACCCAGACCUGUGACAUCCAUAAGGAGCCCUUCAUGUCUGACAGAGCAACCAGCAAGUUUUCCCAUUUCUGGUUAUCACUCAGGAACUAUGCAUAAUCUAACGCCCUGGAAUAUCCAGUGAAGUUGUUUCCAGCCCUGAAGAAUGUCGAGUUUCUGAGUGAGCAAGGAGUAUGCAGCUUCAUCUCUGUCUCCGCCUGUGCGCUGUCUGCAAGGAGACACAUACU